GGAUGAACGCUGGCGGCGUGCUUAACACAUGCAAGUCGAACGAUUAACCCGCCCUCGGGCGGUUAUAGAGUGGCGAACGGGUGAGUAACACGUGACCAACCUGCCCCUUGCUCCGGGACAACCCAGGGAAACCUCGGCUAAUACCGGAUACUCCGCGCAGCCCGCAUGGGAGGCGCGGGAAAGCCCAGACGGCAAGGGAUGGGGUCGCGGCCCAUUAGGUAGACGGCGGGGUAACGGCCCACCGUGCCCGCGAUGGGUAGCCGGGUUGAGAGACCGAUCGGCCACAUUGGGACUGAGAUACGGCCCAGACUCCUACGGGAGGCAGCAGUGGGGAAUUUUGCGCAAUGGGGGAAACCCUGACGCAGCAACGCCGCGUGCGGGACGAAGGCCUUCGGGUUGUAAACCGCUUUCAGCAGGGAAUAUAGUGAAGGUACCUGCAGAAGAAGCUCCGGCUAACUACGUGCCAGCAGCCGCGGUAAUACGUAGGGAGCGAGCGUUAUCCGGAUUCAUUGGGCGUAAAGCGCGCGUAGGCGGCCCGUCAAGCGGGGUUUCAAAUCCAGGGGCUCAACCUCUGGCCGGACCCCGAACUGGCGGGCUCGAGUGCGGUAGAGGAAGGUGGAAUUCCCAGUGUAGCGGUGAAAUGCGCAGAUAUUGGGAAGAACACCGAUGGCGAAGGCAGCCUUCUGGGCCGCCACUGACGCUGAGGCGCGAAAGCUAGGGGAGCGAACAGGAUUAGAUACCCUGGUAGUCCUAGCCGUAAACGAUGGGCACUAGGUGUGGGGGAGCAUCUCCUCCGUGCCGCAGCCAACGCAUUAAGUGCCCCGCCUGGGGAGUACGGCCGCAAGGCUAAAACUCAAAG
RNAcentral lists this ribosomal RNA (859 nucleotides) under human gut metagenome. RNAcentral describes it as "bacterial SSU rRNA". It matches the Rfam family "Bacterial small subunit ribosomal RNA", at positions 27 to 906 of the family's 1533-position model. The record is from RNAcentral.